RNAcentral lists this ribosomal RNA (139 nucleotides) under uncultured eukaryote. RNAcentral's name for it is "partial 18S ribosomal RNA". It matches the Rfam family "Eukaryotic small subunit ribosomal RNA", at positions 1299 to 1458 of the family's 1831-position model. The record is from RNAcentral.
UGGUGGAGUGAUUUGUCUGCUUAAUUGCGAUAACGAACGAGACCUUAACCUGCUAAAUAGUCACGCGAACUUUUCGUUCGUGGCCGACUUCUUAGAGGGACUAUUGACAUUAAGUCAAUGGAAGUUUGAGGCAAUAACA